RNAcentral lists this ribosomal RNA (493 nucleotides) under uncultured bacterium. RNAcentral's name for it is "partial 16S ribosomal RNA". It matches the Rfam family "Bacterial small subunit ribosomal RNA", at positions 27 to 507 of the family's 1533-position model. The record is from RNAcentral.
GAGUGAACGCUGGCGGUAGGCCUAACACAUGCAAGUCGAACGGCAGCACAGUAAGAGCUUACUCUUACGGGUGGCGAGUGGCGGACGGGUGAGGAAUACAUCGGAAUCUACUUUUUCGUGGGGGAUAACGUAGGGAAACUUACGCUAAUACCGCAUACGACCUACGGGUGAAAGCAGGGGAUCUUCGGACCUUGCGCGAUUGAAUGAGCCGAUGUCGGAUUAGCUAGUUGGCGGGGUAAAGGCCCACCAAGGCGACGAUCCGUAGCUGGUCUGAGAGGAUGAUCAGCCACACUGGAACUGAGACACGGUCCAGACUCCUACGGGAGGCAGCAGUGGGGAAUAUUGGACAAUGGGCGCAAGCCUGAUCCAGCCAUACCGCGUGGGUGAAGAAGGCCUUCGGGUUGUAAAGCCCUUUUGUUGGGAAAGAAAAGCAGCAGGUUAAUACCCCGCUGUUCUGACGGUACCCAAAGAAUAAGCACCGGCUAACUUCGUG